Molecule: long non-coding RNA, 4461 nt
Filed under: Piliocolobus tephrosceles (Ugandan red Colobus)
Lineage: Eukaryota; Metazoa; Chordata; Mammalia; Primates; Cercopithecidae
Description: lncRNA (ENSPTEG00000015753.1)
Source: RNAcentral
AAAACCAUUUGAUUUAGUAUUACCUGUCGAACAAUCGAGCAAUAAAAAAGAAUUAAAGGCUCGAUUAGAGAUAAGUGAUAAUUGGGAAGGUAUAACAUUAAGAAAAACACAAAUAACAAAAAUAAUAGAGAUUAUGAAUGAAGCUAACAAUUCUAGAAACGAAACAAAUAAAUUAUUAUUAAAGUAUGCAUAUACUGUUAAAUUAGAUAUCGAAUCAUUAAGAACUGAAACAAAAAAUGAGUUUAUGAAUUUAUAUAAUAAAUUAUUAGGGAGAAAAUAUAAUGUAUCUGAAAAUGAGUUGACUAUGUCUGAGUUAAACAGAUUACAAAUUUUAUAUGAUGUUGUAGGUGUUCGUCAUUUAGCAAAAUGGCGACUACAAUGCAAAAAGAUGUUAGAAAAAUUAGUAGAAGAAAAAAAUUUAAAAAAAAAAAAUCUAUAUGAUUCAAUUUAUAAACAACAAUCUUGGUGGUCUUGGGUAACUGGAAAUAAAAAAGAUAUCGAAAAUAAGGUACAAUCUAUUUUACAAAGUGAACAAAAUAUUAUUAAUGAAAAAGAAUUGUAUAUUUUACAAGAAGCAGUAACAAAUGAAGACGAUUUCGAUGUGGUUAUACCAACUAAAUAUGAUUUACAGUUUAAACUUUCCCAUUUCGCAAUUCAUGUAUAUGACGAUUGUAAAAAGAAAAAAAAACGUGUUAAAUGGGACAUACAAACAACAGAUAAAUCGGAUACACUAAUAAAAGAUAAAUACAAAAGUAUAAUUGAAAUAAAUACAUGUGAUUCACAUUGUGUAGAUUCAUUAGAUAGUAAGGUAUACGACAGUGAUAUAAGCAAAAUGGUCCCAACGGGUAAUGAUACUAUUGUUUCUUCUUGUGGCAGUAGUAGUAACAAUAAGCUUGAUCAAUCCAAUUUGGAUAGAAAUGUAGAAGAAGUUGUUCCAAGUGGAAAAACAAGAAUGGAAGACCAAAAUGGUAAAACUAGUAAUUUUGGUGAUGGAGGAGGAUCUGAUGGGAGACUAUGUGAUGUGACUCGGGGAAGCACCGGCGGUAGUAGCUACAAUGAUAAGUUUUUAAAAAAAAAAAUCAGUUACAAAUAUGAAGAAAUUACAAUUUUAUCCAUAAAUUUUUAUCAGAUAUAUUCUUCCUUAACAUUACAGUCUGUUAUUGAUCAUAACGAUAAUGACAAUUUUCAAUGGAAAUUUAUUAUUGAGUUACAGAAUUUUAUAGCAAAGCAUAAAGAUAAAGUAUUUAUGGAAUUUCGAAAUAAUAAUAAUAAUAUAUUAUCAGCAUAUAAUAUGAACGGUUCAGGAAAUUUUGAUAAAAAUCCGAUAUAUAAUUCGUUAUUGUAUAGUCAAAGUGUAUGUGCAUAUUUAGAAAUUAAUCAUUUGAUUACGGAAAAAGGAAAUACAUUAUCUUCUUUGCUACGUUUGAACCCCUUGGAAUUAUACUUAUCACCAAUCCUUAUAAAAAACAUUUUGUCUUUUACUUUCCCCCUACUGGAUAUAAUUAAUAACGACAUGAACAGUGUUAGUACUGUUCAUUCUAAAUUAGGUACAAUAAAAAGACAAACAGGAAAGGAUCACAUCACAACUACUGCAGUAACUACAAUUUCCCCUCUUACCAACCUGAACGAUAACGGAGAAAGAGUCAGGAUGGUAGGACCUGAUUUAGUUAAUAUUGACACAGAUGUAGAAAAAACGGAUUUAAAAAUAAAUAAUGUUCAAAUUAGAACCGAUAAGAAUACAUCUGAAGGGGAAACGAACAAUUCAGAAGAAAUGUUUAUAAACGAAUUUGAUAGUGAAAAAAAAAAAAGAGAAGUGUUGAUAAAUGAUGUCGAUUAUAUUGGUAUUUCAUACAGUGAAGAUGGUGAAGGUACAAGAAUAGAAGGAUCUAACCAUAUAGACAAUUCCAGUUUAUUAAAUUAUGAAGAAUUAUAUAACGAAGAUGAUUUCUUGAAUAUAAAAAAAAUGGAACACUCGGAAUUCAUUGAAGGGUUGAAAGAAAAAGGGGAAAAUGUGUAUAAUAAAGCAGUUCAACAUUUGCCAGAUUUAUUUGAAUUUUUUAUUCAUAUAUGUGGUCCUAUUGUACAUUUUGACAAUUUAACAAAUGGAAUUGUUGAACUUCAUUCUGGUAAUUUAAUUGCUAGAACUGCUCAUCCUUGUGCUUAUAACAAAUUUAACUUAAUAUUUGAAUUUAAUGAAACACAAAUUACGUGUUUGAAAAGUGGACCUGCGGGGGGAGGUUCGAUUAAUUCGGUUAGUGCAAAUGAUGGAAAUGGUAGUACCGAAGGUAGUGUUACUGAAAGUGAUAAUAUCAGUAACAAGAGUGAUGAAAUGCCAAAAAAAAAUAGCUAUUGUAAUAAUAUAAAAGAAAAAACAGCGGGAACAGAAAAAUUUUAUAUACUUAAACCCAUACCUGUUAUAAUAUAUGUAGAGUAUGAUUUUAAAAUAUUAAAAACUAAUAUAAUUUUGGAUGGCAUUUUUUUUCAAAUAAAUCCUGAUGCUGUUAGUAUUAUAUUAGCUGUGCCUACUUCUAUUACUAGAUAUUUGACAAAAUUUUACACAAAACAUAAAAAUACGAGUGAUUUGAAUAAAGAAAAAGGUGGUGAAAAUUGUAUAUUAAAAAAUAUAAAAAAAAAUUAUGUUAAAAAGAAGGAAGAAGCAUAUCCAAUUGUAGAUACUAUAAAUUGGAGUAAAUCUUCAAAAAUAAAUGUAAGUAAUAAAAAUAAUGAUAAUAGUACUACGGAUGAUAGUAAUAUCGAUAAAAAUAAAAAAACAGAGGAAGAAUCGUUUUUAUACGAUAUUGAUUUUUUAAUCAAGAAUUCAUCGUUUUCUAUUAAAAAUGGCCAAAACUAUGAAGUACUUAAAUAUGAAGCUUGUUGUAUAGUAUAUAAAAAUUAUUUGCAAAAAAAAAAAAAAACUAUUCAAAUUGAAAUUGAACAAUUAUGGAUUUGUGAUCCUAGUAAUCAACAACCUAUAUUUUUUACAUCUACAAAAAAUUUAAUAUCAAAAGAUGCAUUUCUUUUUAAGUCUUUGUCAACUUAUAUGCAAGAUAAAAAUAACAGUUCGCGUUCCACUGGUUUUGUUGAUGAUAAUAUGGGGACAUAUGGAAGUCCCGUACAGACGCACACAGUAGAACAUGCAUUAGCAAAGGAUUUAUUGAGCGUUGGAAAUGGUGCAAAUGGUAAUAUAAACAACGAAAUAAAUGGCAACGAAAUAAAUGACAACGAAAUAAAUGGCAACGAAAUAAAUGGCAACGAAAUAAAUGGAAACAAAAGAAAUGGAAACGAUGAGGAUGAGGAUGAUGACGAUGACGAUUUUAUGGAUGCCAUAGAAGAAAAAAAAUUUUCAAUUGAUUUACAGAUACUACAAAAACAAAACAAAAACAAUGUGGUAGAAACAUAUAUAGAUUUUAUAAUUAAUGAUAUAGAACUACAUUGGAAAUAUAAAACAAUAAAACAAAUAUUUCGAACAAUGAAAGAGUAUAAAAAAAAAAUCCAAUCGGGUUUAGAAAAAGAUAUGAAUUACAUAAAAAAUAAAUUAAGUAAUAAAGAAGAACUAAGGACAUACAAAAUGUUUAUAUCUGAAAACACAUUAAUCAGUGUUAAUAAUACAUUAAAAACUGUAAAGGAUUCGUUAAACGUGUUAGAUAUGGAAACACCUAAUAGUUCAACUACAGUAAAUGAUGUUGAGAAAGAAAUUGCAGUAAAUAAUGACAGACAUAAUGUGUUUACAAAUGUGGGUGUACAGAGAAGUGAGAUACUAUCUUCUCCGUAUUAUAUAUCUGAUAAAGUGGAUAAUAAAAAUUGUGAUACGGGUGGUAUAGACGUAGGUAUACGUGGUGGUACAUAUGGUGAUACACAUGGCGGUACACAUAGUAGUACACAUGAUAACAUUUUAAGUAACGGGCUAAACAACGGUCUUCCCAAAUUGGCACAGCAAAAUAAAAACCAUGUGACUUAUUUUUUUAACUGUUUUGUUAAUAACGCCUCCUUAGCAUUUUGGAAAAAAAAUAAAGUAUUUUCUAAAAUUCAGUUAAGUAACAUUUUUUAUGAGAACAUAAUUUAUAAGAGCUUUGAUCAAAAAAUGUUUAUUAAUAUUGAAAAGGGCAUUCUUUCAUUAAACGAUAAGAAUAUAAUUUUUAACAACAUUAAUGACUAUACAUAUGAUUCAUUUGAUUCUGUGAAAAAUAAGGAAUCAUGUAGUGGUGAAUUUGCUUCAAAUGGUGUAAAUAAAAUAUAUAACAACAAAGAUUUGUAUGAACGUAAAGGCAGUAGAGACAUUUUAAAUUAUAUAACUUUUGAUAAUUUAUCAGAAGAAAUAAAAAAAAAAAAAAAAAAAAAAAAAAAAAAUGUUGUCAGAUAUACAAGUAAAUACAGCAACAAAAUCUAAUAUAGUGACCAAACAAACAACACAAGAUUUAUUUAUUGGAAAAAUAAAUGUAUAUAACGAUAAAAGAAAAUACA